Molecule: long non-coding RNA, 513 nt
Organism: Gordionus sp. m RMFG-2023
Lineage: Eukaryota; Metazoa; Nematomorpha; Gordioida; Chordodea; Parachordodidae
Exons: 4
Source: RefSeq, a predicted model, not a curated record
UGACAAUUAUGAAAUAAUUAUUGAUGAUAUGUAAAUUUUAGUCUCGUGACUAGGAUCAUACUCUCGAUAGGAUUCCACAAUUUCCUCCAUUUAGCAAGAAAUCUUUAAAUAGUGAAAUCGAAUUAAAUAUUCAAGAAAAAAAUGGAAAUGUAUCUUAGUUUUUGAAUGGCGGAGGAGGAAAUCCUUACAACUCGUGUCGAUGUGACUCGAAAAUACGCUUUCAGGUUCGGUCAUAUUUAGACCUUAAUUUUAAAAUAUUAUUUCGGACUAGAGUCCAUUCCUGUGGAUCUGGCACACAUUCACUCGACCCUAAAAUAAGAGUUCGAAACGGGUUGAAUGUAGGAUCGGAUAGGUCCAACAAUAAAAUGGUAGAUCGAGCCGAAUUCGAAAAACUUACAAUCGUACCCUAGACGUCUUACGCAUACAUUUACAUAGAGAAAAUGUGGUGGCCAGAAGAUUAGUACAUCAAAAAUUCAACGGGCCAGGGACGACGCGUAAAACUUUAAGGAGCGG